Molecule: ribosomal RNA, 497 nt
Filed under: uncultured bacterium
Lineage: Bacteria
Description: partial 16S ribosomal RNA
Rfam family: Bacterial small subunit ribosomal RNA
Source: RNAcentral
GAUGAACGCUGGCGGCGUGCCUAAUACAUGCAAGUCGAGCGAACAGACGAGGAGCUUGCUCCUCUGACGUUAGCGGCGGACGGGUGAGUAACACGUGGAUAACCUACCUAUAAGACUGGGAUAACUUCGGGAAACCGGAGCUAAUACCGGAUAAUAUAUUGAACCGCAUGGUUCAAUAGUGAAAGACGGUUUUGCUGUCACUUAUAGAUGGAUCCGCGCCGCAUUAGCUAGUUGGUAAGGUAACGGCUUACCAACGCAACGAUGCGUAGCCGACCUGAGAGGGUGAUCGGGCACACUGGAACUGAGACACGGUCCAGACUCCUACGGGAGGCAGCAGUAGGGAAUCUUCCGCAAUGGGGGGAAGCCUGACGGAGGCAAGCCGCGUGAGUGAUGAAGGUCUUCGGAGCGUAAAACUCUGUUAUUAGGGAAGAAAAAAUGUGUAAGUAACUAUGCACGUCUUGAAGGUACCUAAUCAGAAAGCCACGGCUAACUACGUG